AAAAAAAAACCUAGCCCUCUUUUCCUUUAUUUCAUGGUGGUGCCGGCGGCAAGGACAAGUGGAUCUUCUUCUCGAGAGUUGAUUUGCUUCUUUCAAGGGCAUGCCAAAGGUGUAAGGUUUGAGAGUAUUUUUGGGCGUUAAUCAGAUCAGGAGUAGAGGUCAGUGGCAAAUAGCUUAGCAAGGAUCGUUGGGCCAUCGCCGUUUUAUUUAGCUUGUAAUAAGUCCCGAUUGUUGUGGGCCUAGGUUU
Dioscorea cayenensis subsp. rotundata (Guinea yam) is the source of this 247-nucleotide long non-coding RNA. RefSeq lists it as uncharacterized. NCBI's taxonomy places the organism in Eukaryota, Viridiplantae, Streptophyta, Magnoliopsida, Dioscoreales, Dioscoreaceae. The transcript has 3 exons. The record is from RefSeq and is a predicted model, not a curated record.